AAGUCGUAACAAGGUUUCCGUAGGUGAACCUGCGGAAGGAUCAUUAUUGAAUGAACUUGGAGUCGGUUGUCGCUGGCUGUCUUAUUUGGCAGCAUGUGCACGCCUUCUCUUUUCAUCCACACACACCCCUGUGCACUUGUGAGACUGGAGACCGGUAAAAAAAGUCUUCAGUCUGCUAAAUCCAUAUACAAACCCAUUUAAUUGAACUGAAUGUAAAUUGAUGUAACGCAUCUUUAAACUAAGUUUCAACAACGGAUCUCUUGGCUCUC
This 269-nucleotide unclassified non-coding RNA is filed under the name fungal sp. RNAcentral's name for it is "partial internal transcribed spacer region". The stretch from base 1 to 46 matches the Rfam family "Eukaryotic small subunit ribosomal RNA", at positions 1786 to 1831 of the family's 1831-position model. The record is from RNAcentral. Lineage: Eukaryota; Fungi.